GGUGAUAUAGCUCAGUUGGUAGAGUGCUUGCCUGCCAUGCACAAAGCCCUGGGUCCAAUCCCCAGCACCA
RNAcentral lists this transfer RNA (70 nucleotides) under Marmota monax (woodchuck). It matches the Rfam family "tRNA". From Rfam's summary of the family: Transfer RNA (tRNA) molecules are approximately 80 nucleotides in length. Lineage: Eukaryota; Metazoa; Chordata; Mammalia; Rodentia; Sciuridae. The record is from Rfam by way of RNAcentral. RNAcentral also lists the same sequence under 3 other names.